GACCUAGUUCAGAGAACACAGGAUAUUGAUAUACUUCCACUGUUUUCUUCUCUCUAAUCACAGGCAUACAGAGCAGUCUAUGAACACGCUCCCCAGAAGGCCCUAGGGGUAGAACUGCCCCAGGACUGCACUGAGGCAAGACCUCUGAAUACCCUGAAGGCAUCUGCAGCUGAAAUUUUCAGGGAUCAUCCCUCUGCUGAGGAACAAUCUAGCUGAUGACUGUGGGGCUCUCUCGCUGGCUCUGGUUGGAGAGGCGCCCUGAUGCUGGAUUCCUACAGGGAGUGAGGGCUGGGGGUGAGGAGAAGAGACUGAUCUCCCAGGAAGAACAAUGUCUGUGUUCUAUGGUACCCAGAAACAACUGCAUCAAUUAGAUGCUGUGGCUUUGUGUGAAUCAGAUUUGGGGGCUCAAGUGUGGGCCCAUGUGGUGUGAUUCUAAAGCUCUAUGUGUGUGUGUUUCCUCAGGACAUGUUUCCCUCUUAGCACAAGUCAAGUGUGAACUUUCUAAACACUUCUUGUCACACUGCAUACUCGUAUACAUUAGCUGAUUCUUUCCUCAACUCAGUCAUCCCUCAAGUUGGGUUAAUAUUUAUUUUCCUCAAAUGGAGAUGGCAAUGAGACAAAUGGCCCAAGUUCUUGACCCCCUAAGUGGAAAAGCCAUACUGAGAACCUAGGGGUGGUCCCAAUGGCAUCCUCAGUCAUUUACCAAGGGGGUCCCUGCAUCUAUGUUUACACCUGGAGGUACUAGUAGCUCCAGAGGUCCAGAUCCUGCCCCUCAUUAUAAUACGGGCUCAGUGGUCACAGAACCCAGGACAACCAUAAGUGGCUUAACAGCCAGCUUUGGCACAGUCAUUAGUGUGAAAGUCACCUCAGGACUCACAUCCUCCUGGCCAACUCACAGAUUCUGAGGGUUGUGCGGCCUUGGGUAGACAAUGUAGGUCAUAUCUGUUGGUGUUAUAGUCAUUGCUUAAACAAGGACAAAAGCAGAUUAUAAUCAGAGAGAUAUUUCAUUGUAUUGGGUGAAGUUACCAUAAGCCUUAAAUUGAUUAAACCCUAUAGCACACUGUCAAAGAAAGGUGUCAGUAGAUCUCACAGUGGAACUUGAUAGUUCACCUAGUGACCAUGACUUUUGUUGUAAAUCUCCUGCACAGCUGGGUCAGAGACAGUCAGCAUUCACCUCAUGGUUUCUCUCCAUAAUGAACUGUCCCAAAAAAGUAAGGCUUCUGUGAGUGUGGACAACCACUGACUCAGUGGACAUGCAAAUAUUGUUUGGAAAAUGAAGAUGGAAUAAAAAGAUCAUUUGAUUGAUAAUAGCUUUUUGGAAAGGUAAGAUUGAAUGCAGUCCUCUAGCAGAGUUUGCUUUUAAUGAAGAACAAAGUCUCAUAGAAAACUUGGUAAGUAUAAUAGUGUAACUGUGGAUCCUGGGGAGGCAGUGAUCUAGGAAAAAAUCCAGAAGACAGGGGAGAUUUGCAGAAGCUCUAACCAGACAGGAGAGUCACAGGCCUCUGUCAUUGAAAACUAGCAUGCAUUUUAGUGUUUCUUUUUUCCUCAUCGGUUAGGUUAUCACUAGAUAAAAGACAUAAACUCUAUUUCAUUUCUUCCCUGUUCCUCUCCUUUGCUCUCCUUCCUUCAGCAAAAAGGAUGAUUCAACAGCAACUCAGCCCAUAGUUACUAACCUUCCUCAUGCAUACACUGCACUCCAUGUCCCCAUCAAACAAAAACAAACAAAAAACUCUGAGAGAUUGGUGCGCAGCCUCACCUGAGUCCUGAUGGCUAUUCUUUGUCCUUCUAGCUUCCCAGGAGGACCUGGUGGUGGAAGUGCACCAGGCCUGGGCUGAGGAAGAACCUCUGAGGACCCAGAAGGCAUGCGGAGCAUUCCAUGAACACGCUCCCCAGGACAACCUGGUGGUGAAAUGGCAAGCAGCCUGGGCUGAUGAAUAAUGUCUAAGUAUCCUGAAGGUCCAAAAUCAGAGAACAGAAAACUUACUCCAGAGAACACAAGAUCCUGAUAUCCUCACACUGUUUGCUUCUCUCUAAUCACAUGCAUAUGGAGCAGUCUAUGAACACGGUUUCACUGAUGACCUGUCAGUCAACUUACUUUGCCACAAGACAGAAGAGACUCAGUGUUUCUCCAAGG
Dama dama (fallow deer) is the source of this 2134-nucleotide long non-coding RNA. RefSeq lists it as uncharacterized. The transcript is spliced from 7 exons. The record is from RefSeq and is a predicted model, not a curated record. Lineage: Eukaryota; Metazoa; Chordata; Mammalia; Artiodactyla; Cervidae.